Molecule: ribosomal RNA, 497 nt
Filed under: uncultured bacterium
Lineage: Bacteria
Description: partial 16S ribosomal RNA
Rfam family: Bacterial small subunit ribosomal RNA
Source: RNAcentral
GAUGAACGCUGGCGGCGUGCCUAAUACAUGCAAGUCGAGCGAACAGACGAGGAGCUUGCUCCUCUGACGUUAGCGGCGGACGGGUGAGUAACACGUGGAUAACCUACCUAUAAGACUGGGAUAACUUCGGGAAACCGGAGCUAAUACCGGAUAAUAUAUUGAACCGCAUGGUUCAAUAGUGAAAUACGGUUUUGCUUUCACUUAUAGAUGGAUCCGCGCCGCAUUAGCUAGUUGGUAAGGUAACGGCUUACCAAGGCAACGAUGCGUAGCCGACCUGAGAGGGUGAUCGGCCACACUGGAACUGAGACACGGUCCAGACUCCUACGGGAGGCAGCAGUAGGGAAUCUUCCGCAAUGGGCGAAAGCCUGACGGAGCAACGCCGCGUGAGUGAUGAAGGUCUUCGGAUCGUAAAACUCUGUUAUUAGGGAAGAACAAAUGUGUAAGUAACUAUGCACGUCUUGACGGUACCUAAUCAGAAAGCCACGGCUAACUACGUG